Molecule: ribosomal RNA, 463 nt
Filed under: Streptococcus sanguinis
Lineage: Bacteria; Bacillati; Bacillota; Bacilli; Lactobacillales; Streptococcaceae
Description: bacterial SSU rRNA
Rfam family: Bacterial small subunit ribosomal RNA
Source: RNAcentral
GACGAACGCUGGCGGCGUGCCUAAUACAUGCAAGUAGAACGCUGAAGAGAGGAGCUUGCUCUUCUUGGAUGAGUUGCGAACGGGUGAGUAACGCGUAGGUAACCUGCCUGGUAGCGGGGGAUAACUAUUGGAAACGAUAGCUAAUACCGCAUGAUAUUGAAUAUCGCAUGAUAAUUAAUUGAAAGGUGCAAUUGCAUCACUACCAGAUGGACCUGCGUUGUAUUAGCUAGUUGGUGAGGUAACGGCUCACCAAGGCGACGAUACAUAGCCGACCUGAGAGGGUGAUCGGCCACACUGGGACUGAGACACGGCCCAGACUCCUACGGGAGGCAGCAGUAGGGAAUCUUCGGCAAUGGGGGGAACCCUGACCGAGCAACGCCGCGUGAGUGAAGAAGGUUUUCGGAUCGUAAAGCUCUGUUGUAAGAGAAGAACGGGUGUGAGAGUGGAAAGUUCACGCUGUGAC